This 735-nucleotide ribosomal RNA is filed under the name Octopupilla felix. Its description in RNAcentral is "partial 28S ribosomal RNA". The stretch from base 1 to 93 matches the Rfam family "Bacterial large subunit ribosomal RNA", at positions 465 to 559 of the family's 2925-position model. Lineage: Eukaryota; Metazoa; Arthropoda; Malacostraca; Amphipoda; Eoniphargidae. The record is from RNAcentral.
GCUAAAUAUAUCCACAGAACCGAUAGCGAACAAGUACCGUGAGGGAAAGUUGAAAAGCACUCUGGAGAGAGAGUCAAAAGACCGUGAAACCGCUCAGAGUAUAAGCCCAUGGCAGCUUGGAAGGCAUGUCGCUAGCGGGGCGUCGCUGUUGCCAGCAAUGGUGUACGGACGCAACCUUGUCCCAGUAACGGCUCGUCAUGGUAGGGGGGUCGAGUCCACAUCCCGCCGUCGUGAGGGAGGUCGCCUUUUGGCGUGUUGGUCUUUCGGGAGAUCCUCGUGGUCGAACGUUGGGCUCUUCGCGUCGGGCACUUCUUGAUCACGGACGUUCAGACGCUGGGGCAAGUCGCGACAAUCAAGCCCACCACGGCACGUUGUGAGGUCACCCACAGGCUCGACUAUCGAUCGUGGCUCUUGACGACGAGCAAGCAAGCGUGUGCGUCGCGAAAGGUUCUUUUUACCCGGCCCUCUCCCACAAGGGAGUGUUGGUCGCGGGACGGUUGAACGACGCACGCUCAAAAGUCAGAGUCGGGCGAUGACGGAGCAUUCCUGGUAUGAUCCUCUUGCGACGAGCCGGCUUCUGGCCGUGCUCCGGCGACCGGGUCCAUCGCACGUGUCGCGAUGACCUAUAAAGACGGUUUGGAACGUGCACAUCCACAUGGGUGUGUUCGUCCUCUCGGUCGGUCGCCGGGUCGAGUGGUGUAAAGUCCAAGCCCAUCGGUCACGUCUCGAAACACG